GACAGAGGGGGCAAGCGUUGCUCGGAAUCACUGGGCGUAAAGGGUGCGUAGGCGGGUUUUUAAGUCGGACGUGAAAUCCCUCAGCUUAACUGGGGAACUGCGUCUGAUACUGGUUGGCUUGAGUGCAGGAGAGGAACGCGGAAUUCCAGGUGUAGCGGUGAAAUGCGUAGAUAUCUGGAGGAACACCGGUGGCGAAGGCGGCGUUCUGGACUGCAACUGACACUGAGGAACGAAAGCCAGGGGAGCAAACGGG
This 253-nucleotide ribosomal RNA is filed under the name uncultured bacterium. Its description in RNAcentral is "partial 16S ribosomal RNA". It matches the Rfam family "Bacterial small subunit ribosomal RNA", at positions 524 to 776 of the family's 1533-position model. The record is from RNAcentral.